GAGUUUGAUCGUGGCUCAGAUUGAACGCUGGCGGCAUGCCUUACACAUGCAAGUCGAACGGCAGCAUGAUCUAGCUUGCUAGAUUGAUGGCGAGUGGCGAACGGGUGAGUAAUACAUCGGAACGUGCCCUGUAGUGGGGGAUAACUAGUCGAAAGAUUAGCUAAUACCGCAUACGACCCGAGGGUGAAAGUGGGGGACCGCAAGGCCUCAUGCUAUAGGAGCGGCCGAUGUCUGAUUAGCUAGUUGGUGGGGUAAAGGCCCACCAAGGCGACGAUCAGUAGCUGGUCUGAGAGGACGAUCAGCCACACUGGGACUGAGACACGGCCCAGACUCCUACGGGAGGCAGCAGUGGGGAAUUUUGGACAAUUGGCGAAAGCCUGAUCCAGCAAUGCCGCGUGUGUGAAGAAGGCCU
RNAcentral lists this ribosomal RNA (412 nucleotides) under uncultured microorganism. RNAcentral's name for it is "bacterial SSU rRNA". It matches the Rfam family "Bacterial small subunit ribosomal RNA", at positions 9 to 417 of the family's 1533-position model. The record is from RNAcentral.